AGAUAAGGAGCUUGCUCCUUUGACGUUAGCGGCGGACGGGUGAGUAACACGUGGGUAACCUACCUAUAAGACUGGGAUAACUUCGGGAAACCGGAGCUAAUACCGGAUAACAUUUGGAACCGCAUGGUUCUAAAGUGAAAGAUGGUUUUGCUAUCACUUAUAGAUGGACCCGCGCCGUAUUAGCUAGUUGGUAAGGUAACGGCUUACCAAGGCAACGAUACGUAGCCGACCUGAGAGGGUGAUCGGCCACACUGGAACUGAGACACGGUCCAGACUCCUACGGGAGGCAGCAGUAGGGAAUCUUCCGCAAUGGGCGAAAGCCUGACGGAGCAACGCCGCGUGAGUGAUGAAGGGUUUCGGCUCGUAAAACUCUGUUAUUAGGGAAGAACAAACGUGUAAGUAACUAUGCACGUCUUGACGGUACCUAAUCAGAAAGCCACGGCUAACUACGUGCCAGCAGCCGCGGUAAUACGUAGGUGGCAAGCGUUAUCCGGAAUUAUUGGGCGUAAAGCGCGCGUAGGCGGUUUCUUAAGUCUGAUGUGAAAGCCCACGGCUCAACCGUGGAGGGUCAUUGGAAACUGGGAAACUUGAGUGCAGAAGAGGAAAGUGGAAUUCCAUGUGUAGCGGUGAAAUGCGCAGAGAUAUGGAGGAACACCAGUGGCGAAGGCGACUUUCUGGUCUGUAACUGACGCUGAUGUGCGAAAGCGUGGGGAUCAAACAGGAUUAGAUACCCUGGUAGUCCACGCCGUAAACGAUGAGUGCUAAGUGUUAGGGGGUUUCCGCCCCUUAGUGCUGCAGCUAACGCAUUAAGCACUCCGCCUGGGGAGUACGACCGCAAGGUUGAAACUCAAAGGAAUUGACGGGGACCCGCACAAGCGGUGGAGCAUGUGGUUUAAUUCGAAGCAACGCGAAGAACCUUACCAAAUCUUGACAUCCUUUGAAAACUCUAGAGAUAGAGCCUUCCCCUUCGGGGGACAAAGUGACAGGUGGUGCAUGGUUGUCGUCAGCUCGUGUCGUGAGAUGUUGGGUUAAGUCCCGCAACGAGCGCAACCCUUAAGCUUAGUUGCCAUCAUUAAGUUGGGCACUCUAGGUUGACUGCCGGUGACAAACCGGAGGAAGGUGGGGAUGACGUCAAAUCAUCAUGCCCCUUAUGAUUUGGGCUACACACGUGCUACAAUGGACAAUACAAAGGGCAGCUAAACCGCGAGGUCAUGCAAAUCCCAUAAAGUUGUUCUCAGUUCGGAUUGUAGUCUGCAACUCGACUACAUGAAGCUGGAAUCGCUAGUAAUCGUAGAUCAGCAUGCUACGGUGAAUACGUUCCCGGGUCUUGUACACACCGCCCGUCACACCACGAGAGUUUUAACACCCGAAGCCGGGGAGUAACCAU
This 1387-nucleotide ribosomal RNA is filed under the name Staphylococcus sp. Its description in RNAcentral is "bacterial SSU rRNA". It matches the Rfam family "Bacterial small subunit ribosomal RNA", at positions 69 to 1442 of the family's 1533-position model. Lineage: Bacteria; Bacillati; Bacillota; Bacilli; Caryophanales; Staphylococcaceae. The record is from RNAcentral.